This is a long non-coding RNA of Gasterosteus aculeatus (three-spined stickleback), 1275 nucleotides long. The record is from Ensembl. NCBI's taxonomy places the organism in Eukaryota, Metazoa, Chordata, Actinopteri, Perciformes, Gasterosteidae.
UAGAACAGAACAGAAUAGAAUAGAAUAGAAUAGAACAGAAUAGAACAGAACAGAACAUAAUAGAACAGAACAGAACAGAACAGAACAGAAUAGAAUAGAAUGUAGACGUGGAGGAGGAUGGGAGGAGUUACUUGAAAUAUGAUGAGCCUAAAAACACUAUAUUAUAAGAAAAUGACCUGUUAUUGUGUAUGAUGGAGAAGCUGUUCAUUUCCUAACCCUCCAGUGCUCAUCUCCUGUGAACAUGUGAAAACAGGAGGAGAGCUGAGAUGAAAGAGGAGCAGGAGAGUUUGACUGUGGACGCCAGAGGAGUGAAGAUGGAGAGGAAGAGGAUGAAGAGGAGCACAAUUAAAGACAGCGUCCUCCAAUAUGGAAAAGAAAAGACGAGAAGCAAAGUCAAAGCAGAGUUUAAGACGAGAGGAAAACAAACAUUACACACGAGUUGACUUCCCAUCGCCUGAACAUCUCGAUGAAGGACGAGUCUACGAACCAGAGCGUGCAGACUGGAGGCUGAUGGCAAAUUCAUGAAACUUUAUUUGGAAAUUCUAUUGUGGAUGAAUCCAAAAAAAAGAAUAGCAAAUGUGCUUUGUAGAAAAUAUACACACAUGUGCAAUAAAUGCAUCAAGUUGUGAGUAAACAGUAAACAUUUAGGAUUAAAAACAACACCCACAAAGCUUUGAGGACUAUUUAAUGAAAGCAAAGAUAGCGGAGAAAAACACAGGUGUCAUUUUUAGUAGCGAUUCGGGAGGCUAUCAUCACUGGAACUAAGAAGUCUAGAUCUAGACUCUAAAGAAACAGUCACAGCCAAGAGACUAAACUCAAAACCUCUAAACACGCCACAAAUAAAGAGCCACUUGUGGGGGAAUCUAAAGAGGAAAUCAGGGUUCAACAGGUUAAUGACACGGUUUUCACUUAUGUGUCUGUCUCACGCACAUUCACACAACGAGUGAGUCAGAAACUUAUUUCUGCACACGCACACACACACACACACACACACAGGUUUCCUGUCAUUAGGCAGCAGAGCCGUUCUAUAAUUAGAACAUCUGGACCCAAGUGAGUUUGGUGCCAGUGGCCUCACACACAAACACAGAGAGGGACACACACACACACACACACAAAUGAAAACACACAGACUCACACUUUUCCAUAACUACACACACACACACACACACACAACAGAAACUGUACAUACUUUAUAUCUCCACUUUUUUGCUUGUUUUUCUGCUAUUUUGUACAAAAGAAAAAGCACAUUAAAGCAAGUAAGUAAACAACAGCUUG